UACGUAGGUGGCGAGCGUUGUCCGGAAUUAUUGGGCGUAAAGAGCAUGUAGGCGGUUUUUUAAGUCUGGAGUGAAAAUGCGGGGCUCAACCCCGUAUGGCUCUGGAUACUGGAAGACUUGAGUGCAGAAGAGGAAAGGGGAAUUCCCAGUGUAGCGGUGAAAUGCGUAGAUAUUGGGAGGAACACCAGUGGCGAAGGCGCCUUUCUGGACUGUGUCUGACGCUGAGAUGCGAAAGCCAGGGUAGCGAACGGG
This 252-nucleotide ribosomal RNA is filed under the name Phascolarctobacterium succinatutens YIT 12067. Its description in RNAcentral is "partial 16S ribosomal RNA". It matches the Rfam family "Bacterial small subunit ribosomal RNA", at positions 524 to 776 of the family's 1533-position model. Lineage: Bacteria; Bacillati; Bacillota; Negativicutes; Acidaminococcales; Acidaminococcaceae. The record is from RNAcentral.